AACACAGAAAGCAUAAUCUCCCCUACAUUUAAGCCUCGACUUAGGAGUAAACAAUAGAUCCUGGUUGGAAGACCGAAGGGAUCUAGUGGGUUGAUGCUCAGUCAAUAACUCACAGAGAUAAGUAGGGGCCAAUAUAUAUCUUUGGCAAAUAAGCAUCCCCAAAGUUCUACAAUGCAUCUGAGGACUCAAUGUAUUUUUUUUUUUUUUCUUUCCAAAUG
Molecule: long non-coding RNA, 218 nt
Organism: Sinocyclocheilus anshuiensis
Lineage: Eukaryota; Metazoa; Chordata; Actinopteri; Cypriniformes; Cyprinidae
Exons: 3
Source: RefSeq, a predicted model, not a curated record